Long non-coding RNA from Dipodomys spectabilis (banner-tailed kangaroo rat), 101 nucleotides. RefSeq lists it as uncharacterized. The record is from RefSeq and is a predicted model, not a curated record. The transcript has 3 exons. NCBI's taxonomy places the organism in Eukaryota, Metazoa, Chordata, Mammalia, Rodentia, Heteromyidae.
AAUCUGAAGUUAAGGCUCAAUUCUCAGUCGUUUUGCAGGCGAGUAUUUUGCAUCAGUGAAUAAGUUCAACAGAUUUGGUAGUGAUGGUGUGUGAGGGGAAG